This is a non-coding RNA of Pelobates cultripes (western spadefoot toad), 673 nucleotides long. The record is from the annotation of a GenBank genome assembly. NCBI's taxonomy places the organism in Eukaryota, Metazoa, Chordata, Amphibia, Anura, Pelobatidae.
GCGCUAAUCAACACACAAUAUAUGCAGAAUGGGCAGCAACCCAAGCGAAGGAAACCCCUCAAGUCCUUCAAUGGAUCAAAAACAACACAAAAAAGAUGGAGUAGGGCUGCGCAAAUACGAAUAAAAUGGUCUUAGAAAGGGUAGGAGGUCUCGCUAGAGUAGCAGUAGAUAAUCAGGGAAACUUUAUAAGACGUAUUCUCUUCAAUGGGAGUGGAUACGUCUCAGGGUGUUAGUUCAUAUAUAUGAAACAGAGAAGAGGCAGAAAGCAACCAAUAGUGCAGUAAGUAUCAAGAGGUAGAGAACUCACAUUUAAAAGAGCUAUGGCCAGCUCUGGUGUGAAGAGCAUACAGCGGUAUAAUCCCUGUUUAUGGGAUGUGGGAAGAUGUAUCUGUCAGCACCAUCUGGUAAUCCAAAGGGAAGAUAAAAGGCAACAAUAGUGCUCUCAAUUGUGAUAAAAUAGAGUAUAAAAGAGUGAUCAGAGUAAUACUCACAAGUGUAGAGCAGAAACACUGCUCUAUUGAUAUAGCGGUGGUAUAAUCCCUACCUCGGAUUUCUUUUGAUUAGUAGUAAAAAGCCAAGUAGCAAAGGAAAUAUAUUAUCAAAUAUAUUUUAAAAUGGUAAAUAAAAUUUAAAGGAAAUUGGCACAAACCAGGUCUAUUUGUCCAAAAGAAUU